GAACCAGCGGAGGGAUCAUUACCGAGUUUACAACUCCCAAACCCCUGUGAACAUACCUAUACGUUGCCUCGGCGGAUCAGCCCGCGCCCCGUAAAACGGGACGGCCCGCCCGAGGACCCCUAAACUCUGUUUUUAGUGGAACUUCUGAGUAAAACAAACAAAUAAAUCAAAACUUUCAACAACGGAUCUCUUGGUUCUGGCAUCGAUGAAGAACGCAGCAAAAUGCGAUAAGUAAUGUGAAUUGCAGAAUUCAGUGAAUCAUCGAAUCUUUGAACGCACAUUGCGCCCGCCAGUAUUCUGGCGGGCAUGCCUGUUCGAGCGUCAUUUCAACCCUCAAGCUCAGCUUGGUGUUGGGACUCGCGGUAACCCGCGUUCCCCAAAUCGAUUGGCGGUCACGUCGAGCUUCCAUAGCGUAGUAAUCAUACACCUCGUUACUGGUAAUCGUCGCGGCCACGCCGUUAAACCCCAACUUCUGAAUGUUGACCUCGGAUCAGGUAGGAAUACCCGCUGAACUUAAGCAUAUCAAUAAGCGGAGG
This 536-nucleotide ribosomal RNA is filed under the name uncultured fungus. RNAcentral's name for it is "eukaryotic LSU rRNA". The stretch from base 171 to 324 matches the Rfam family "5.8S ribosomal RNA". The record is from RNAcentral. Lineage: Eukaryota; Fungi.